Microtus oregoni (creeping vole) is the source of this 107-nucleotide small nuclear RNA. The record is from RefSeq and is a predicted model, not a curated record. NCBI's taxonomy places the organism in Eukaryota, Metazoa, Chordata, Mammalia, Rodentia, Cricetidae.
AUGUUCAUUUCAGCAACAUAUGUCCUACAAUGGCAAUAAUACAGAGAAGGUUAGUAUGGCCCUUGCACAUGAAUGACACAAACAUUCUUGAAGCAUUCCAUACUUUA